GAGGUUGUGGCUUAGUGGUAGAGCGCUUGCCUAGUAUGCAUGAGGCCCUGGGUUUGAUUCUCAGCACCGCA
RNAcentral lists this transfer RNA (71 nucleotides) under Ictidomys tridecemlineatus (thirteen-lined ground squirrel). RNAcentral describes it as "Spermophilus tridecemlineatus (thirteen-lined ground squirrel) tRNA". It matches the Rfam family "tRNA". From Rfam's summary of the family: Transfer RNA (tRNA) molecules are approximately 80 nucleotides in length. Their secondary structure includes four short double-helical elements and three loops (D, anti-codon, and T loops). The record is from Rfam by way of RNAcentral. Lineage: Eukaryota; Metazoa; Chordata; Mammalia; Rodentia; Sciuridae.